GUUUUUCUCUAUGUGUGUAGAUUAUUUGUAAAUUUUGAUAACUUUCAUUUUUAUUUUUAGAAUGUCACCCUAACUUUGAGCUCAGUUUUGACUUGUGUGUGUUCCACAAUCAAUUCCAAUAUAUUUCUACUUCACUAGGAUCUUAACUAGUAAGAAUGGUGUUCUUUUCAUUAUGAUUAAAAUACUGUAUCCCCCAAAUUUACAUUCAAAUUUUCAUUACAAAACAAAUAAUUCUAUCUUUAUUGUUGCAUGUAACCAAAGGGAAUUUGAACUACUGUUCGAAAUUUCACCUUCAAAGGAAGGAAAUGUUAAAAGCUUUGCUUUGAACUAGCUGAAUAAAGUAAUCAAACCAUUACUGGAUUAACGGAUUUUGUAUUUGAAAAAUCUGAUGACACUCACAGAGCACCAGCAUCGCUUAAUUAUUCACAAAGUUCUUCAGCUGUUAGACCAUAAGAGCGUUUGAAAUGGAAAAUGAGCAAAUGUAAUUUGAAAUAAUGAACAUUGAUCUAAAUGAAAAGUCAUUCUUCAUUUAGUGAUCUCUGAACUUACAUUUGGCAAGCGCACGUAUAAAAUCAUUUUGAAGGACAAUCCUCUUAAACUCACUUGAAGUAGACACUGAUUCUUCUUCAUCAGAUUUUUAUCCUGUUUUUUUUUUUUUCCUCAGCACCAGCAUCACCCCAUUUGAUGUUGGCAGGAUCUCACUCCUGGAAGAUGGAAAUGGGCUUUCCAUUGAUGACGAGUUUCUCAUUUUCAGCCUUGACUGUGCCAUUGAAUUUGCUAUGGGUGGAAUCAUACUAAACCAUGCUCGCCAAUGUGUCUCAGAGACACGGCUGGCACUGCACCGGAAGAUGUGGCUGUCUCUUGAAGUGGGAGGAGUACCUGUGCUAUCGUUAAUACAACCAUGGAAGAGUUCAUGCAGAGAUUGUUCUGGGAUGAUUUCCUAAAGAAGUUUGGGAAGAGCAUCUGGAAGUCAGUUUACUCCCCAGUGAAAGAGAUAGUUGUAUAAGGAAAAUAUCCUUUUUGGCCCUCUUCUCCAUCUUUUCCUGUUUGGGUGCUGUUGGAUGAAGAUGGCAUGCCUAGAGCUGUGGCAGCCAUUUUGUGCCCAUGAGGUGAAAAAAAAAUAUGGGGAUGAAAACAAACACAUAGGGAAUGAAGGAUUAGAGCAGUGGAAAGAACCAGUGUCUUUUAUCAUAUCAUUCAGCUGCCAAAACAACUCUGCCUCCAUACAGCAUUCUUGGUAAGUAAACAAUAUGCAUACUUACACAGUGGUUCAAGACACUGUAAUUUAGACAUUUUGUUCCGACACUGGAAUGCAUCCUAACUGAGACAGAUCUCUUGGGUCAAAAAAAUCACAAACAGAUAUUAUAACAUCUCAUAGUAUAGUAUGUUUCAAAUAUGUUUCAAAAACAUCUGAAACAACUAAGGAAUACAGGUUAAAAGAGUAACUUUGGCAUAUUGCCAAUAUAUUU
This 1469-nucleotide long non-coding RNA is filed under the name Felis catus (domestic cat). Its description in RNAcentral is "lncRNA (ENSFCAG00000049507.1)". The record is from RNAcentral. Lineage: Eukaryota; Metazoa; Chordata; Mammalia; Carnivora; Felidae.